UUGCUGAAAAUAAAUGCAGUUGACAGUGAGGACGUUUAUUUUUUUGCUGAGUUUAGAAAAUGACUCAAGUUUAAAUCACCCAGUAAAAUACUUGAGUAAAGUAUAAAUAAUUUCACAUUACUUAAAUUAGAAAUCCAGACGGCACCAUUUUAUUUUUCAAAGACAGCCAGGGGCACACUCCAACAUCAAAAGAAGCAUUUAUGUUUAGUGAGUUCUAAACAGCGGGGACAAUCAAGCAUUCCCAGAAGUUUGGUUUGUGCGUAAAAACCGCAAAUUCAGACGAAGGGUGUGAUGUGUCUGCACUCAAAAAUAAAAUCAAGGUUUUUAAUGCAUUAGGGAUGGUAUACACAGAGGGUUCAGCUUUCUCCAUUGUGUAGGUACACGUCGUUUUAAAUCAGCAUUUGGUGGGAACACAGAUGAGCAGCACGUGCUUCUAAUCAGUCCACCAGAUCAGAGGCAGUAGGGACUAACAGGUGUUCUCUUGAUAAAUGCGUGAAUUAUACAUUUUCUGUCCUGCUAAGCGUUCAAAAUGUAACAAGUAGGCUACUUUUGUGUGUCAGGGAGAGUGUAUGGGGUAAGAAAUAUAUACUUUUCUUUAGGAAUGUAGUGAAGCAAAAGUUGUCAAAUAAAUAGUAAAGUGAAGAUACUCCCCAAAAUACUGUAGUACUUUACACCACAGAUGCAGGCUAUUGAGCCACUGACUUGCGAUUCUUUCUGCGUUGGACAGCCAUAAUGAUCUGUACCAGGAUCCUGUAUUUGUUGUUCUUCAUGUUGUCCUUGGCCUUCUUCAGGAGGUGUUCGAUCUCAGGCUCACCGUAGUGCAGAUGGAUCGUUUUGUACUUCUCCCUCUCCUCCUUAAUCUCCUCCUUACCUUUGCAGUUCUGCAGGUUGAACAGGGGCAUGUGCAUGAUGGUGGGCUCUUCAGGGCGUCGCCCCUCGAAAACGUAGCAGCCCUGCGGACGGUCUUUCUCAUCUCUCACACUCUCCUUCACCGGGGGAAAGGGGACCUUCUGCUGAAGUGCAUACUUUUUGGCACUAAACACCGUCUGUGAGGAGCAGGAUCAGUAGUAUGGUUAUGUCAAUGUCCUUCUCCUAACCAGCCUCUAGUCCCUACUCCCUAGGCCCUACUUCCAAGUCACAACUACCUACUUCCUAGUCACUAUUCUGUAGCCCCUACUCCCUAGUCCCUAGUUCCUACUCCCUAGGUCAGGGGUGUCUCUCAUUCCAUGGCUGGCUGAGUGGCUGCGGGUUUUAGUUUUUCCUUUCAAUUAAGACCUCCACAACAAGGUGAGGGGAGUUCCUUACUAAUUAGUACCUUCAUUUAUCAAUCAAGUACAAGGGUGGAGCGAAAACCCGCAGACACAGCCCUCCGUGGAAUGAGUUUGACAUGUGCCCUAGGCCCUACUUCCUAGUCACUACCUCCUAGCCCCUACUCCCUAGAGAGAGAGCAAGAGAAGGGAGAGAGAGGACAGAAACA
This 1477-nucleotide long non-coding RNA is filed under the name Salmo trutta (river trout). Its description in RNAcentral is "lncRNA (ENSSTUG00000006139.1)". The record is from RNAcentral. Lineage: Eukaryota; Metazoa; Chordata; Actinopteri; Salmoniformes; Salmonidae.